GACGAACGCUGGCGGCGCGCUUAACACAUGCCAGUCGAACGGAAAGGCCUGCUUUCCCUUGUGGAUUGCGGGUACUCGAGUGGCGAACGGGUGAGAAACACGUGAGUGAUCUGCCCCCAACUUGGGUAUAAGCCUGGGAAACUGGGUCUAAUUCCCGAUAGGACUGCAGGGUGGUGCCUGUGGUGGAAAACGAUUUUCUAGUGGUUGGGGAUGAGCUCGCGGCCUAUCAGCUUGUUGGUGGGGUAAUGGCCUACCAAGGCGGCGACGGGUAGCCGGCCUGGGAGGGUGGACGGCCACAUUGGGACUGAGAUACGGCCCAGACUCCUACGGGAGGCAGCAGUGGGGAAUAUUGCACAAUGGGCGGAAGCCUGAUGCAGCGACGCCGCGUGGGGGAUGACGGCCUUCGGGUUGUAAACUCCUUUCGACCGCGAGGAAGCCACCUGGUUGGAAGGGUGGUGACGGUAGUGGUAGUAGAAGCACCGGCUAACUACGUG
This 494-nucleotide ribosomal RNA is filed under the name uncultured bacterium. RNAcentral describes it as "partial 16S ribosomal RNA". It matches the Rfam family "Bacterial small subunit ribosomal RNA", at positions 28 to 507 of the family's 1533-position model. The record is from RNAcentral.